AGCGAACGCUGGCGGCAGGCUUAACACAUGCAAGUCGAGCGGGCACUUUCGGGUGUCAGCGGCGGACGGGUGAGUAACGCGUGGGAACGUGCCCUCUGGUUCGGAAUAACUCAGGGAAACUUGAGCUAAUACCGGAUACGCCCUUUUGGGGAAAGGCUUGCUGCCGGAGGAUCGGCCCGCGUCUGAUUAGCUAGUUGGUGAGGUAACGGCUCACCAAGGCGACGAUCAGUAGCUGGUCUGAGAGGAUGAUCAGCCACACUGGGACUGAGACACGGCCCAGAAUCCUACGGAAGGCAGCAGUGGGGAAUAUUGGACAAUGGGGGCAAGCCCGAUCCAGCUAGGCCGCGUGAGUGAUGAAGGCCUUAGGGUUGUAAAGCUCUUUUAUCCGGGACGAUAAUGACGGUACCGGAGGAAUAAGCCCCGGCUAACUUCGUG
Molecule: ribosomal RNA, 435 nt
Filed under: uncultured bacterium
Lineage: Bacteria
Description: partial 16S ribosomal RNA
Rfam family: Bacterial small subunit ribosomal RNA
Source: RNAcentral